UUUUUUUUUAAAGAAAAACCUCAAACACCAGAUGUUUCAUCUGAUUUGACAAUUUCAUUUAGCAUACACCUUUUCACUCUAGUUUUAACUCCUGAUGUCUUUCUUAUUUUUUUGAAAAUGAUGGUAUGACAGUUAUAGUAAGAAGCCCUUUAGCACACGAGCAAAGUAUGAGGAAUAAUCUAAUUGAUAGAACUUUCCUGCUUAUUUUUUGUAGCCUUUUUCGGUAGUAGCAAAAUAUUGAGACCAUCAGAUCAAAG
This 257-nucleotide long non-coding RNA is filed under the name Capsicum annuum. Its description in RNAcentral is "long non-coding RNA (CANN_LNC019415)". The record is from RNAcentral. Lineage: Eukaryota; Viridiplantae; Streptophyta; Magnoliopsida; Solanales; Solanaceae.